This 683-nucleotide long non-coding RNA is filed under the name Equus caballus (horse). Its description in RNAcentral is "lncRNA (ENSECAG00000039626.3)". The record is from RNAcentral. Lineage: Eukaryota; Metazoa; Chordata; Mammalia; Perissodactyla; Equidae.
AAGGGUGCAGUAGGAUGCUGUCUCUCUUCAUGACAGCUGUGUCCUCAGCUGAGAAAACCUCAAAGUUGAGUGUGACAACACGGGGGCCACUGAAAUCAUCUGAAGGCUAGUUCAUUCACAACUCUAUAGAUUGUGCUGGAUGCCUUCACCUCUAGACCCAGUUAGCUCUUCAGUAAUAUGAGUUUACUAAGGGAAUCUUUUCGAAGACUUUCCUCUCUCAACUCUGCUCUCAGAAAUGAAAAGGAAAUUUUCAAGUGUUAAAAAGGAAAUGCCCUCCAUGCUUCAUCUCUUUUAUUCCUUUUACAUUAAGCAUGUUGUGAUAAGAAGACAACCCCGGGAAGUGAAAACUCAAGGAGAACAGAACCAGAGAAUCAAAGAAAAAAAUCAGAAAAUUACAGAGUCUGAGAGGAGGCAGAGAACCAGAACACAUCAACAAGAGUAUGCCAGUGACCCUUGGAAAACUGUUCUGUCUUUGUGCUGCAAAUGGAAGAAUGACACCAGUCGGCUAUCUGUCAGCAAGCCACAGAAUGAAGCUUCAAAGCUUGGAAGUACUUAAGCUAAAAUUACAUGGGGAUGAUAUACAGUUAGAAAUAAUAAAUAAUGUUGUAAUAAACAAUCAUUUCUGCUCUGAAGGGCAACCAAAUUCUCACUGUCGGUACAUCUAACCUUUAGGAGAGGAAAAU